UACGGGGGGGGCAAGCGUUGUUCGGAAUUACUGGGCGUAAAGGGCUCGUAGGCGGCCAACUAAGUCGAACGUGAAAUCCCCGAGCUCAACUCGGGAACUGCGUCCGAUACUGGUGGGCUUGAAUCCGGGAGAGGGAUGCGGAAUUCCAGGUGUAGCGGUGAAAUGCGUAGAUAUCUGGAGGAACACCGGUGGCGAAGGCGGCAUCCUGGACCGGCAUUGACGCUGAGGCGCGAAAGCUAGGGGAGCAAACGGG
Molecule: ribosomal RNA, 253 nt
Filed under: uncultured bacterium
Lineage: Bacteria
Description: partial 16S ribosomal RNA
Rfam family: Bacterial small subunit ribosomal RNA
Source: RNAcentral